GACGACGCUGGCGGCGUGGAUUAGGCAUGCAAGUCGAACGGUAGGAUCCUUUCGGGGAUCUGAGAGUGGCGAACGGGUGAGUAACACGUAGGUGAUCUACCCUCAAGAUUGGGACAACCCAGGGAAACUUGGGCUAAUACCGGAUGAAAGCAGCAGUGAUGUUGUUUGAAAGGUGGCGUAAGCUGCCGUUUGGGGAUGAGCCUGCGCUCUAUUAGUUAGUUGGCGGGGUAAAGGCCCACCAAGGCGAUGAUAGAUAGGCGGCCUUAACGGGUGGUCGCCCACACUGGGAUUGAGAUACGGCCCAGACUCCUACGGGAGGCAGCAGUCGAGAAUAGUCUACAAUGGCCGAAAGGCUGAUAGUGCGACGCCGCGUGAACGAAGAAGCCCUUCGGGGUGUAAAGUUCUUUUAUAUGUGAGCAGUGCUUUCUAUGUGAACAGCAUGGGGAGAGAGAUAUUAGCAUAUGAAUAAGCAACGGCUAACUCCGUG
This 487-nucleotide ribosomal RNA is filed under the name uncultured bacterium. RNAcentral's name for it is "bacterial SSU rRNA". It matches the Rfam family "Bacterial small subunit ribosomal RNA", at positions 33 to 507 of the family's 1533-position model. The record is from RNAcentral.